CCCUUAGAUGUUCUGGGCCGCACGCGCGCUACACUGACGAAUGCAACGAGCUUAUAACCUUGGCCGAAAGGUCUGGGUAAUCUCCAAAUUUCGUCGUGAUGGGGAUAGAUUAUUGCAAUUAUUAAUCUUCAACGAGGAAUGCCUAGUAAGCGCAAGUCAUCAGCUUGCGUUGAUUACGUCCCUGCCCUUUGUACACACCGCCCGUCGCUCCUACCGAUUGAAUGGUCCGGUGAAGCGUUCGGACCGUGGCCUUUGGACGGUUCGCCGUCUGUUGGCUGCGGGAAGUUCGUUAAACUUUAUCAUUUAGAGGAAGGAGAAGUCGUAACA
RNAcentral lists this ribosomal RNA (327 nucleotides) under uncultured eukaryote. RNAcentral describes it as "partial 18S ribosomal RNA". It matches the Rfam family "Eukaryotic small subunit ribosomal RNA", at positions 1470 to 1796 of the family's 1831-position model. The record is from RNAcentral.